RNAcentral lists this ribosomal RNA (497 nucleotides) under uncultured bacterium. RNAcentral's name for it is "partial 16S ribosomal RNA". It matches the Rfam family "Bacterial small subunit ribosomal RNA", at positions 28 to 507 of the family's 1533-position model. The record is from RNAcentral.
GAUGAACGCUGGCGGCGUGCCUAAUACAUGCAAGUCGAGCGAACGGACGAGAAGCUUGCUUCUCUGAUGUUAGCGGCGGACGGGUGAGUAACACGUGGAUAACCUACCUAUAAGACUGGGAUAACUUCGGGAAACCGGAGCUAAUACCGGAUAAUAUUUUGAACCGCAUGGUUCAAAAGUGAAAGACGGUCUUGCUGUCACUUAUAGAUGGAUCCGCGCUGCAUUAGCUAGUUGUUAAGGUAACGGCUUACCAAGGCAACGAUGCAUAGCCGACCUGAGAGGGUGGUCGGCCACACUGGAACUGAGCCACGGUCCAGACGCCUACGGGAGGCAGCAGUAGGGAAUCUUCCGCAAUGGGCGAAAGCCUGACGGAGCAACGCCGCGUGAGUGAUGAAGGUCUUCGGAUCGUAAAACUCUGUUAUUAGGGAAGAACAUAUGUGUAAGUAACUGUGCACAUCUUGACGGUACCUAAUCAGAAAGCCACGGCUAACUACGUG